Molecule: ribosomal RNA, 484 nt
Filed under: uncultured bacterium
Lineage: Bacteria
Description: partial 16S ribosomal RNA
Rfam family: Bacterial small subunit ribosomal RNA
Source: RNAcentral
AUUGAACGCUGGCGGCAGGCCUAACACAUGCAAGUCGAGCGGAUGAAGGGAGCUUGCUCCUGGAUUCAGCGGAGGACGGGUGAGUAAUGCCUAGGAAUCUGCCUGGUAGUGGGGGAUAACGUCCGGAAACGGGCGCUAAUACCGCAUACGUCCUGAGGGAGAAAGUGGGGGAUCUUCGGACCUCACGCUAUCAGAUGAGCCUAGGUCGGAUUAGCUAGUUGGUGGGGUAAAGGCCUACCAAGGCGACGAUCCGUAACUGGUCUGAGAGGAUGAUCAGUCACACUGGAACUGAGACACGGUCCAGACUCCUACGGGAGGCAGCAGUGGGGAAUAUUGGACAAUGGGCGAAAGCCUGAUCCAGCCAUGCCGCGUGUGUGAAGAAGGUCUUCGGAUUGUAAAGCACUUUAAGUUGGGAGGAAGGGCAGUAAGUUAAUACCUUGCUGUUUUGACGUUACCAACAGAAUAAGCACCGGCUAACUUCGUG